CUAUUCGUCCAUUGCCGUUUCUCACAGCACGUCUGGAGGUUUUCAAGGCUCGUCUGGGGACGUCCUUUCUUUCGCCCUGACGAUAGCUUCUGCUCCAUCGAGGAUUGGUGGCUACAGGCCAGAGCAGGAGUGCCAAUGAGGAUGUGUCGUAACUUUGACACUAUCACUAUCCUGAUUCAUUGGCGGUUGUGGAAGGAAAGAAACUCCAGGAUUUUCGACCAGAUAGCUAACAGUGCAGACAGGGUGCUAAAUCUCAUUUGCGAAGACAUUGCCGUCUGGCGGUCAGCGGGAUGCGUCAUGGAUCUGGGUGUUUAG
This 315-nucleotide ribosomal RNA is filed under the name Triticum aestivum (bread wheat). RNAcentral describes it as "partial small subunit ribosomal RNA". Lineage: Eukaryota; Viridiplantae; Streptophyta; Magnoliopsida; Poales; Poaceae. The record is from RNAcentral.